Long non-coding RNA from Musca domestica (house fly), 380 nucleotides. RefSeq lists it as uncharacterized. The transcript is spliced from 2 exons. The record is from RefSeq and is a predicted model, not a curated record. Lineage: Eukaryota; Metazoa; Arthropoda; Insecta; Diptera; Muscidae.
ACAAAUUACUCACCUCCUCCUCAUUCAAAUCCAAUUGGGAAUGUUUAACUGAACCAUAACGUUGUAUGACACCUGAACCCGACAAAUCCUGACGUGAUCUGGCAUAUUCGGUUUGAUUUUUCAAAAUAUUACCUGAUACAAAAUAUCCGGCCUAUACAUGGUACCGCUGCCCGACUUUUCACGAUGAUGCUCCUUCAAUUGGGCCAAAUGCGGUUGACUCAUGGCCGAUUUGAUAAUAUCUUCAUUGCUGGUGCAUUUUGAGACUACGGAAAUUUCCAUUUUUUGAUUGACAGCACCAUUGGAACCAUUUAACUACAACAACAACAAAAAUGUAUGUAUUUUAUUUUUAUAAAAAAUAAAUGUCUUAUAUUUCCCGCUUA